ACGGGAGGCAGCAGUGGGGAAUAUUGGGCAAUGGACGAAAGUCUGACCCAGCAACGCCGCGUGAGGGAAGAAGGGUUUCGGCUCGUAAACCUCUGUCGUGUGGGACGAAGAAAAUGACGGUACCACACAAGGAAGCCCCGGCUAACUACGUGCCAGCAGCCGCGGUAAUACGUAGGGGGCGAGCGUUGUCCGGAAUGAUUGGGCGUAAAGGGCGCGUAGGCGGCCUGGUAAGUCUGGAGUGAAAGUCCUGCUUUCAAGGUGGGAAUUGCUUUGGAUACUGUCGGGCUGGAGUGCAGGAGAGGAAAGCGGAAUUACCGGUGUAGCGGUGAAAUGCGUAGAGAUCGGUAGGAACACCAGUGGCGAAGGCGGCUUUCUGGACUGUAACUGACGCUGAGGCGCGAAAGCGUGGGGAGCAAACAGGAUUAGAUACCCUGGUA
Molecule: ribosomal RNA, 437 nt
Filed under: uncultured bacterium
Lineage: Bacteria
Description: partial 16S ribosomal RNA
Rfam family: Bacterial small subunit ribosomal RNA
Source: RNAcentral